This is a long non-coding RNA of Oncorhynchus mykiss (rainbow trout), 1781 nucleotides long. The record is from Ensembl. Lineage: Eukaryota; Metazoa; Chordata; Actinopteri; Salmoniformes; Salmonidae.
GGCCUGAGAGAACACCUAUAUGUGUUGUGAAAAGUGUUAUGUAAUGUAAUAUUUUAAAUGGUAUAUAACUGCCUUAAUGUUCCUGUACCCCAGGAAGAGUAGGUGCUGCCAAAGCAGCAGCUAAUGGGGAUCCUUAAUAAAUACAAAUACAGCAUGGUAUGUUCUGUGUCAAACUCUCUUAUUGCCCUGUCUCCCUCUCUCGCGCUCUCUCUCUCUCUCUCGCUCUUUCUUGUAUCUCUCUUUGCUGCAGGUUCGGAGCACAGUUAAAAGGAUCAAGGAGAGAAGAAAAGCGCUACGUUUUUCAAACUGUGCCAGCUCCAGACCCUCCAGCUCAUUGACCAGCUCCCGGCCCGCCAGCUCCCCCACGCCCUCCCCCCAGGGCCCCCAAGGUCCCAGCCUGGACGAAGGGGGGGAUAAGACCUGCUCCGGCCAGCCCAGCCCACUCCCCAACCUUACCUACCCCCACACCCCAGGCCCUGUGGAGGAGAACGCCAACAGAGGUGAGCCACAAGCUCCCUCACCCACAGUUCCGAUGACAGUACUACCUACAGAGGUGAAUCGAUGACUUCCUCCUUUUCUGACCCUCAUCCUGAAUGCUGCAUUUCACUCCGAAAACAAGAUCUCAGGCUGUAUAUUGCGUACCAUAGUCUGAAAGCUGAAUGAAAGGGGGGGAAAGACAGCUGAAAGAAUAUGCUCCAGCUUUUCACAAAAAUAAUCUAAAUUGUCCCAAAAAUAUUUAGACACUCAUUCUUCACUUCAAAAACAUAUUACCCUGUUGUGGGAGUGUGGCCAAGUGUAGUUUGUAGUUGUGCAGACUCCCAUGGACAUAUUGCCCACAGUGGCAUGGGUACGAAUCUCACCCCAGUCUGUACUUUCUUGCUGUCUUCCCCUCUACAACCUGUACCCUGCCUACCUUCCAACUGUCUAAGUAAAUUACGAAAAGAAGGACAGAGCUCUUGUCCUCCUUUUUGUAAAUUAAAUACAAAAUAAGAAUAUUACUCAAAUGUUGUACAACUUUGAUCAUGAUCACAAUCAUGAAAUUCAGGAACAAAAAUAAAACAAAUAACCUUUGCUGAUUUUUCUAAACCAAUAAUAGUUCCUCUUAGAGGAUUUUGAGUAACCUAUGUAAUUAGGACUGAGAAAUAUGGAACUUUAUUCAAUCGAAACCUGAAACCGGAUCUUGGUUUCAACAAGAGUUUGGAGUCAUUUAAUCAACAAACAUAACAUGUCAAUUCAACCUCACAUUUAUUCAAACCAUCUUCCUCGAGAACAAUCUCAUCCUAGUCUUACUGCGGAAACAUGUGUAUUGGCUUUGAUUGAACAGCGAAUCUGCGAUGCAUUAGGUUGUGAACGAGGAGCGGUGCUUGGCACAGAGAGUGAACCCAGACGUGAUAGCUCCUCUGUAGGACUCAAACACUGUCCAGACUGCACAGACUGAACAGCUUUAAUGCAGUUCCCUGACCCGUGUAUCACUGAGUGGAGUCAAUGUAAUUGAAGGGGAGGAAAACACACAUGAUAACACACAACACAGCCAUGCAUGCACGCAAUCACAUAUGCACGCGUGCACACACAAAGCAUUUACGCACAUGCACACACACCUAUAGACACACAAACACAACACAGACACACACACACAGCAGAGGAAAGUUUCAAAGCAGUGAAAAAAGGAUGGUGGCAUCUCCUUAGUAAGUGACUCAAAUACAGAGUCAAGCUGCUAUAUCUUCUCAUUUCUUUAAAGCUGCAAUCUGGUAUUCAAACAACUGCUCAGCCUGACACUUUUU